This 1436-nucleotide long non-coding RNA is filed under the name Mus pahari (shrew mouse). RNAcentral describes it as "lncRNA (MGP_PahariEiJ_G0006373.1)". Lineage: Eukaryota; Metazoa; Chordata; Mammalia; Rodentia; Muridae. The record is from RNAcentral.
GCUUGGCGUGCGGCCCUCGGCCAGCCGUGCGCGCACUUUCCGGGUCGUGGCCUCACAGUGUCACUGGAGUCAAACCCCGUCGGCCUGCAGCCCACAGCAGUAAUCUACAGUAGCCAAGAAUUCAUAAGAUCCCAGAGACAGCUCAGGACGGUCAUAAGCGUCCACGCGUUUGCCGCUCCUGAGAAAUGCUCCCUCAUCUACCUAAUGUGAGAGAGAACGAUGUGGAUGCCAGCCUUGCCCCAAAGCUCAGCCAUCACAACAUACCAUCAUUGAUACAACUGCAGAAGGAGCACUGGAAGCGCCUCCCUCCCUCGAUGAAAGUCAUGAGAGGGCACAUGUAUGCUUUGCAGCGAUUACAGCGCAGGGGGCCAGAUUCGCCAUGAUCCACAACAUACGGUGAAGCCUAAGGAACAAAGAGAAGAGACUGAGAUGGAGGGAGGUUACAGAGAUAUGUCAGAUACAGACAUAUGUCAACAUAUGACACAGACUGGAGGGAGAGGCAGCAUGGCUCAGGUAUUCUGCCUGAAUUCAGUGAAGGAAAUGAGAACAAUGAUAAGAACUGGAAAAAACUCCAGCUCACUCUCUUCAUUUUCUAUCCCAAAAUGCAUUCAUUUCUUCUUACAAAGGAAGAUGGCCUAUGAAACUGGUCAUAGCAAGCCAGGGACUGCCAUGAGUAUAUGAAAAGAAAGCCGAAGAUUCUACAGGAUGGCUCCUCCNGUCCUGGAGAUGACUUCUGCUUCUGUCCCUGUAUAUCUAUGAUACUUUCCCCCAUCACGCACGAGAGAAUUCUGUGACCCCUACUGUUGUCCUGAAGAUAUCUUACAAACACAAGAACAGCAUCCAACCAUCCUCACUAGCAACCCACACAGAAAAUGAGAAGGCAGAACAUACACUGUGCCUUGAUGGUACAGUUCUAGAAAACUCUUUUUAAGUACAUUAGGUCGUCAAUACCUAAAUAAACAGCUACCUAAUUUUUACAAAUUUUUUUGCCAGGAUUACUGGCACAUGCUUUUAAUCCCAGCACUCGGGAGGCAGAGGCAGGUGGAUUUCUGAGUUCAAGGCCAGCCUGGUCUACAGAUUGAGUUCCAGGACAGCCAGAGCUAUACAGAGAAACCCUGUCUCGAAAAACCAAAACACACACACACAACAGAGUAACAGACUUGUCAUCAUCCAGAUAUGUGACCACAUUAGAAGUUCCUACAUCCAGCUGUCUUGCCUGCAGAAAUUAGGCUGGCCCUACCUGUUUUGUUUUAAGACAGGGUAUUUCACGAUAUAGCCCUGGAUGGCUUCAUCACAGAGAUCUGCCUACUUCUGCUUCAUGAAUACCAGGGCUAACUCUUUGAGAUGGAGUUUACUAUGUGGGUAGGCUGUGCUGGAAUUCUAUGGCCUCCUGUUUCAGCUUCCUAAGGGCUACAAUUACAGGUGUGACCCUCCAC